AAAUGGCAGUGGCAGCUGCAUUCUGGGUUCCUCGGCUGUGGGGUCAGUCCAAUCCCAAAUUGGAGCAGCCACGUCAAGUGGUAUCUAUGGCUAGGAGGGCUCAGCUAGUAUGUGGAAGACCCUCACCUAUUUUGUUGUGCUUCCUCGGGUGGGAGUGAGCAUGAUAAUUGUUUUCUUGAAGUUGCAUCGUGGAGAGCACAGGAGACCUGAGUUGAUUCCUUACCCCCAUCUCUGCAUUAGAUCCAAAUCUUUUCCUUGAGGAGAUGGUAACCAUACUGUAUUUCAUAACCUUCAUGUGAAUCUGUUUCUAACUGCCUAUGAAGAUGAA
RNAcentral lists this long non-coding RNA (328 nucleotides) under Homo sapiens (human). RNAcentral's name for it is "non-protein coding lnc-HYAL4-2:1". Lineage: Eukaryota; Metazoa; Chordata; Mammalia; Primates; Hominidae. The record is from RNAcentral.